GUGUCAGCAGCCGCGGUAAGACAGAGGUGGCAAGCGUUGUUCGGAUUUACUGGGCGUAAAGGGUGUGUAGGUGGCUGAGCAAGUCGAAGAUGAAAUCCCAGGGCUCAACCCUGGAAUUGUCUUUGAUACUGUUCAGCUUGAGGGUGGUCGAGGAAGACGGAAUUCCCGGUGGAGCGGUGAAAUGCGUAGAUAUCGGGAGGAACACCGGAGGCGAAGGCGGUCUUCUGGGCCACUCCUGACACUGAGGCACGAAAGCUAGGGGAGCGAACGGGAUUAGAUACCCCGGUAGUCCUAGCCGUAAACGAUGGGCACUAGAUGUUCCCACAUUUUGUGGGAGUGUCGAAGCUAACGCGUUAAGUGCCCCGCCUGGGGAGUACGGUCGCAAGGCUGAAACUUAAAUGAAUUGACGGGG
This 412-nucleotide ribosomal RNA is filed under the name uncultured prokaryote. Its description in RNAcentral is "bacterial SSU rRNA". It matches the Rfam family "Bacterial small subunit ribosomal RNA", at positions 505 to 918 of the family's 1533-position model. The record is from RNAcentral.